GGUUUUACUCAUAAUGUCUGGAACAGAUCAGAGCAAUGUCUGCUCUGUCCCCUCCUCCUCCCACACCUCUUAGUGACUUUUACCCCAUCAACAACUUUAGGAUGUGUUCCUCCAUGGGAGGUGAGGGUAUUCAUAGUGAGGUACGCUAGGAUACCCUGCCCACUGGGCUGCUGGAGCUUCCAGGGGAGUGAGAGCCUGAAUUCCUGCAACAGACAUCUUUGUCUCUGUAGCAAGAAGCUUCAUGCUCUGAAUCCUGAACAAAACUCCACCAGUGCUGCAGAUCUCUGCAAUUGAACAAAGAACAGUAAAUGCAGUUUAGUGUAGGAAGGCAAGGUCACAUGGCCUUGGCUUUAGUUAAUUUAUCUUUCAUGACAGAUUCUAUUUUCUGCUACUAGUAUUAUUACCAGCAUUACAUUUCUCCCAUGAUAGUGCAUCUGGAGCUCUUGCAUUGCCAAACUUAGUGGUAGCAUUUAAUUUGUGUGACAUUAUUCAGUUAUCAAGAAAAAGCUCAUGCUGAGAAAUGCUGUAGUUAGUUAAUGAUAGCAUAAAAAAUGAGUUCUUCUAAGCAAGAGCAAUGUCUCAAGUACUUUGCUGAAAACAUUUCUUUCUGAGACUGCACUAUCCCAUUCCUCACAUGGGAGCUUGGGCAUUCACCAAUCAGGUCUCCAGAUGAAGGCUGACAGGUAGAUAUGCUGAGACAGGAGACACAGAAUGGGUUUAACAAUUAAAUUUCACACAUUUUCCCUUAAGUAAUGGCAGCUGGACAACGUGCAAAGACUGCAGCACUGAAUUAUAGGAAAGGCAUACUGAGAUUGUUCUAGUCUAGUCCUUUCUCUGUGGAAGAUCAUCUCCACAAUUUUCAACAGAAACUAAUCUAAUCCAUCCUUGGAGGCCCACAGUGAUGGAGAAGCCAUGUAACUCAUCAUGUAUUUCCUGUAUUACUAUAUACAUAUGGCUUUGUAUGCUUAUAUCCAUAUUAACUGAAAGAUAAAUAUACCCAUGGCAGGAGUAGCUGUAAACAAUGUAGCUGUAAACACCAAAUCCUCAUGGAAGAUUUCCUGUUUACAGGAUUCAACAGGGCUCUGCUCUUGACAAAACAUAACUUAUUACCUUUAUGUACAAACUAAAAGACAAAGUAAAAUGACAGCACAGGUUUUGGAAAUUAUGAAAGCUGCUGAAACUGUAAAUUAGACAGAUGAUAAUUGUAGAGAAUUAAUCAUUUAGUAGGGUGGGCUGAUUUGAAUAUCCUCUUUUAAUACAGAUAAAUUUGCACUCAUAUAGCUAAGGAAGAAAGAGCAUAGUUCAUACAGACAGGAUUGGACUAAGUAUUUCAAAAUGAUAGAACAUAAAAAGAAGUCAGGGUCUUGGUAGAUAAUUAACUGAACAUGAGUUUGCAGUGGGAUGAUGCAAUUAGAGAGUGAAUGUCAUCCCUGAAGCCUAAGAAGGGAAAAUAUGAAGUGGGAGUAGGAAGGUGAUAUUAGCUCUGUUUAUAGCAAAUGUAAAACCACAGCAGGAAUGUUGCAUGCAUCUCUCAUACCCACAUUUAGGAACGGAUUAUCUGAUAAACCACACAGUCAGAAAGUCCUGCAAUAAACAUAUUGAGGACUGGAAGGCAUGGCUAAUUGUGAAAAGCUAGCAAUGAGCAAGCUGCCUGUCUUAUCAAAAAGACAAGUGAAGUAUUGUAAAAGAUGUAAAAGAUGUUUUUGAUUGUGAUUGGUUUUUUAGUAUAAGAAGAAAGAGCGUAACAAAGGACAGUAUGGGAUAUUAAUCUCUUGAAAAAGUGCUAUGUUAAGAUUUAACUGCAAAUAAAACCUUCAAAAAACCCAAACCACCCAGUGAAUAAUUAUCCACACCUUUAACAAGGUGAUGAAUCUUUUAAUCUGCACUGAUACGUCUAAAGGUCUUUCCUGGGAUAUUGCCCUUCCAGCAGAAAUUACAGACCUGCUGCUGAGACUUACAGCUGACGUGCUGCAACUUGCAGGAGCAUAACGAUCUCUUCGAUGAUUAGGUGACUAAGAAAAUUACACUUUUUUCUUUGAAUGCUAUAAAAUAAUAUUGAUGUAUACCUGCUCAGGAAGCAGCUCUAAGUUCUUUGGUUUUCAAAAUAAAGCAUUAUGCUUCAUUGGUUUUGGACGGACUUUUUGUCCCUAAAAUCAACAGGCUUGUAUUUUAAAAUAAUCCUGAGAAUGGGGAGAUUGUGAAGGUGUUUCUGAUAUAACCUGUUCCCACCAAGGAAACAGCCAUUCGAAAAUCCUGCUGAAUCACUGGAACUGGAAACAGUGCUUAAUUUUGUUUCUACAGAGAUUAGUUCUGCUGAAUGCAGAAAAAUCACAUCCUUCAGUAUGUCAUUUUGCUUUCAUGUUCAUAUAUUUGAAUUAAUAUCUGUUAAGUAGUCCUGAACUGCAAAAACACCAGACUGUGUUUUCAAUAAAUAAUUCCACUUUAAUGGCAAAGUAAUAAUUUAGACAGAUACAGUGUGCACACCUGCAAAAAAAACCCAAAAAAAACAAAAAACAAAAAAAAACAAAACCAAAAAAAAUGCAAGCUGGUUUACAAGCUAGAGGAACAAUAAACCAAUAGAAAAUACAUCAUCCAGUUAAGUCCGAUGACACCAAAUACUUAUUAUUAGGGUUUUACAAAGACUACAAAAAUUUUCAGAUGAUUUAUUUCACUGUUUCUGUCUAUUUACAAGAUAUGUUACAUCAAAAAUGUACAAAAUAUAAAAUGUGUACAGACAAAUGUUUCACAAACA
This is a long non-coding RNA of Catharus ustulatus (Swainson's thrush), 2752 nucleotides long. Lineage: Eukaryota; Metazoa; Chordata; Aves; Passeriformes; Turdidae. The record is from Ensembl.